This 1578-nucleotide ribosomal RNA is filed under the name metagenome. RNAcentral describes it as "bacterial LSU rRNA". It matches the Rfam family "Bacterial large subunit ribosomal RNA", at positions 1327 to 2925 of the family's 2925-position model. The record is from RNAcentral.
UCUGUUGGUGCUGAUUGCCCCCCUGGGGAAGGUUCAUCCACCCAGGGUAAGUCGGGACCUAAGCCGAGGACUGAGGUCGUAGGCGAUGGACAGCAGGUAGAGAUUCCUGCACCACUUAUACUUGUUUGACGAAGCAGUGACACAGAAGGAUAGGACGAGCGCGGUGAUGGUCAACCGCGUAGGCGGCACGAGGCCGGGAAGCAGUGAAGUACACUUCCCGCAAAGGCUGAGUGUUGACAGGACCGAAAAGAAGUAGGGAAGCGUCCGAGUUCACGCUGGCGAGAAAAGCUGCUAAGGAGAGUGUGAGUGCCCGUACCGGAAACCGACGCAGGUGGGCGAGGAGAGAAUCCUGAGACGGACGGGAGAACUCUUGUUAAGGAACUCGGCAAAAUGACCCCGUAACUUCGGGAGAAGGGGUGCCUCGAAAGAGGCCGCAGAGAAUAGUCACAAGCGACUGUUUAGCAAAUACACAGGUAUCUGCGAAAGCGAGAGCUGACGUAUAGGUGCUGACGCCUGCCCGGUGCUGGAAGGUUAAGGGGAAGUGUUAGGGGAAACCCGAAGCAGAGAACCGAAGCCCCAGUAAACGGCGGCCGUAACAAUAACGGUCCUAAGGUAGCGAAAUUCCUUGUCGGGUAAGUUCCGACCCGCACGAAUGGCGUAACGACUUGUGAGCUGUCUCAACAGGAGGCCCGGUGAAAUUGAAGUAUGUGUGAAGAUGCACAUUACCCGCGACUGGACGGAAAGACCCCGUAGAGCUUUACUGUAACCUGACAUUGGAUCUUGAUAACGGAUGCACAGGACAGGUGGGACGCUGGGAGACGAGGACUUUGGUUUUCGUGGAGCGGCCGUUGGGAUACCACUCUUCUGUUAUUGAGAUUCUAACCUCAAGCCGUGAGCCGGAUGAGAGACAGUGUCAGGCGGACAGUUUGACUGGGGCGGUCGCCUCCGAAAGAGUAACGGAGGCGCCCAAAGGUACCCUCAGAAUGGAUGGAAACCAUUCGAAGAGAGCAAAGUCAGAAGGGUGCUUGACUGCGAGACCAACAAGUCGAGCAGGUACGAAAGUAGGGCUUAGUGAUCCGGCGGUAAGAGAGUGGAAUUGCCGUCGCUCAACGGAUAAAAGCUACCUCGGGGAUAACAGGCUGAUCUCCCCCAAGAGUUCACAUCGACGGGGAGGUUUGGCACCUCGAUGUCGGCUCGUCGCAUCCUGGGGCUGAAGCAGGUCCCAAGGGUUUGGCUGUUCGCCAAUUAAAGCGGCACGCGAGCUGGGUUCAGAACGUCGUGAGACAGUUCGGUCCCUAUCCAUCGUGGGCGAAGGACACAUGAGAGGAGCUGCUCCUAGUACGAGAGGACCGGAGUGGACGCAUCACUGGUGCAACUGUUGUCGAGCCAACGGCACAGCAGGGAAGCGAAAUGCGGACGGGAUAAACGCUGAAGGCAUCUAAGCGUGAAGCCCACCUCAAGAAUAAGUGUCCCAUUCGAAAGAAGUAAGACCCCUGGAAGACUACCAGGUGAUAGGUCAUCGGUGAAAGAGUGGUAACAUUUGAAGCUUGAUGAUACUAAUCGGUCGAGGACUUGAUC